Molecule: long non-coding RNA, 1672 nt
Organism: Acipenser ruthenus (sterlet)
Lineage: Eukaryota; Metazoa; Chordata; Actinopteri; Acipenseriformes; Acipenseridae
Exons: 4
Source: RefSeq, a predicted model, not a curated record
GUCAGGCUGUGUUUCUGAAGCCGGGCGCUGAUCGCGCCAUAGGCAGGAACACUUUGAAGCUCAGGUCACGUCCACACUCUCCUCCCUGCUUCUGCUCUCUGUCUCUGUUCAAUGCCCCGUUUGGUUUUUAAGGGAUGUCCUGUCCACAUGUACAGGGUUUGCAGGAAGAGGAGAUGGAGGCUUUUUGGGAAUGAUCUCAACAGGAAACUAGAUGGCAUUGAUAUCCUUGCAGAGAACAAAAUGUGAUUUCAACUUUGCAGACGCCUCUGCCUGAAAACAACAACAAAGCCAACAGCAGCCACAGUCUAAGAUACCAACACAUCACUCUGGGCUCUGUCAAAUCCCCAGCCGAGGCAAGUUUGAAUGAAAAUGCAUUUGGAAUGUGGUGUUCUGUGAUGUAUUUUUCAUAGCAAUUCUGGCAUUUCUUUCACAGGCUCCCUCAUGCCCUCUUAAAACAUUAUCGAGAAGAAACUGCACUUUCAUCCGACAUGAAAACCAUUUCAGACAUUACUGUUGCUCUGUUAGAAAAUCGAUUUAAAUACAACAAGUAAAUAGCAUUGAUCCAAAUAAAAAAAAGGACCUUUGGAUGCCUCAUUCAAGAUUGCCAGUCCCUCUCAAUCACCAUUCUGUUAAAAACAGAUUGUGAAAGAGCUGUUACACAGAAGCGUGCAGCAAAAUCAUGCAAAGACAACAAACCUGUAGGGUUCUGCUACUGGAUCCUAGAGAAUAAUGACACUUAGUCGUAGCAUUCGCCCGAUUGACUAAAAAGUGAGGACAUGUGAUUAACAAUAUCAGAACAAUCACAAUCAUGUUUACAAAUAACAUUUUAGAAUCUCUUUAUAUACAGGGAGUAUGGAUAACACAACCAAUGGCAGUGUGUGCUUGCCCAGAUGAACCCCACAAAUGAAUUAUUGGGUAAUUUACAAUCCAUUAAAGAUGAAAUAAUAUUGACAUUGGAAUAGUUGCCACUUUGCAAAGUACACUAUUACAUCACAGAGAGAAAACCUUGGGCUUGUGUUUUGUAAUGUCAGCGGAAAAGCUUUGGGUUACCUUAGAAACAGAAGCCAUCCUGUGAGUGUAAUGCUUCCUCUUUCCAUGCUCUCUGCAAACGGGACCUCGUACGUGCAAGACGCCAGUUUAAUUGACAACUUCACGAAGGAAUCCAACAAACCACAGCUCUGGUAUUCUCAGAAUUCCAGUGCUUCUUGUCCUGUGCAUACCGACAUCAUCCCGUGCAGGGUUUUUGUUUAAAAGCAAUUCCUGAUUAAGACCUUCUGAUUUAUACUGUGUGAAUACCCUUUUUGCUUUAGUUAUGUUUUAUGUUAUCCAUAAUAAAUGGUCUUCAAUAGAAAUGGUGCUUUACUAAGGGGCUACUGGUAGUAUGCUACCAUAGCUGACUUACCAAUGGUAUCCCUACGGUAUAAACACACAAUACACAUUGGUAAUACAUGAGUAUCACAGUACCAUAUCAGCAUCAUAUCAGGACCACUAUGAAUUAUUUCUUCCAAACCUGUUGUAUUGCCUGCCAUUGUUUUUUCCUGAGUAACUUUUGUGAUUCAUAUGGUGUGAGUUCACAUUAUGUUUCAGCUUUGCUUUACGCUAGGCAAGCUUGUGUAGUUACUGUGUAAUUACAUUGUCAUUGCUGGAAACUAAAAUAAAGGGUUGCCAUGCA